This 899-nucleotide ribosomal RNA is filed under the name uncultured bacterium. Its description in RNAcentral is "bacterial SSU rRNA". It matches the Rfam family "Bacterial small subunit ribosomal RNA", at positions 10 to 924 of the family's 1533-position model. The record is from RNAcentral.
AGUUUGAUCCUGGCUCAGGAUGAACGCUGGCGGCGUGCCUAAUACAUGCAAGUCGAGCGAACCACUUCGGUGGUGAGCGGCGAACGGGUGAGUAACACGUAGGUGAUCUGCCCAUCAGACGGGGACAACGAUUGGAAACGAUCGCUAAUACCGGAUAGGACGAAAGUUUAAAGGUGCUUCUGGCACCGCUGAUGGAUGAGCCUGCGGCGCAUUAGCUAGUUGGUAGGGUAAAGGCCUACCAAGGCGACGAUGCGUAGCCGACCUGAGAGGGUGAACGGCCACACUGGGACUGAGACACGGCCCAGACUCCUACGGGAGGCAGCAGUAGGGAAUCUUCGGCAAUGGGCGAAAGCCUGACCGAGCAACGCCGCGUGAAUGAUGAAGGCCUUCGGGUUGUAAAAUUCUGUUAUAAGGGAAGAACGACUUUAGUAGGAAAUGGCUAGAGUGUGACGGUACCUUAUGAGAAAGCCACGGCUAACUACGUGCCAGCAGCCGCGGUAAUACGUAGGUGGCGAGCGUUAUCCGGAAUUAUUGGGCGUAAAGAGCGCGCAGGUGGUUGAUUAAGUCUGAUGUGAAAGCCCACGGCUUAACCGUGGAGGGUCAUUGGAAACUGGUCGACUUGAGUGCAGAAGAGGGAAGUGGAAUUCCAUGUGUAGCGGUGAAAUGCGUAGAGAUAUGGAGGAACACCAGUGGCGAAGGCGGCUUCCUGGUCUGUAACUGACACUGAGGCGCGAAAGCGUGGGGAGCAAACAGGAUUAGAUACCCUGGUAGUCCACGCCGUAAACGAUGAGUGCUAAGUGUUGGGGGUCGAACCUCAGUGCUGAAGUUAACGCAUUAAGCACUCCGCCUGGGGAGUACGGUCGCAAGACUGAAACUCAAAGGAAUUGACGGAAGGGCGA